GAUGAAGAACGUAGCGAAAUGCGAUAAGUAAUGCGAAUUGCAGAAUUUCCGUGAGUCAUCGAAUCUUUGAACGCACAUUGCGCCCGCCAGUAUUCUGGCGGGCAUGCCUGUUCGAGCGUCAUUACAACCCUCAGGCCCCCGGGCCUGGCGUUGGGGAUCGGCGGAGCCCCCCGUGGGCACACGCCGUCCCCCAAAUGCAGUGGCGGUCCCGCCGCAGCUUCCAUCGCGUAGUAGCUAACACCUCGCGACUGGAGAGCGGCGCGGCCACGCCGUAAAACACCCAACUCUUCUGAAGUUGACCUCGAAUCAGGUAGGAAUACCCGCUGAACUUAAGCAUAUCAUAAGCGGAGGA
RNAcentral lists this unclassified non-coding RNA (352 nucleotides) under soil metagenome. RNAcentral describes it as "partial contains 5.8S ribosomal RNA, internal transcribed spacer 2, and large subunit ribosomal RNA". The stretch from base 1 to 121 matches the Rfam family "5.8S ribosomal RNA", at positions 35 to 154 of the family's 154-position model. The record is from RNAcentral.